CUGGUGGCCGGGCAUCCUUCCUCACUGUUGGCCGUGUGCAGCUCCUUCCCUGCCUGCUCGAGCUCGCCCUCAGCUCUCGGCUAUGGAGUUCGCCCCUGCUCCUCUGCACGCCUCGUCCACGCAUGCCUCCUGGCCGCGAUCGGCUCUGGCCCAGGCCGCCGUCGCGCCCGGAGUUUUGGCACGUCUUCCUGCUCAGACCAAUUUCGCACCUCACCAUCCAUGGAGCUGCUCGCCGACCACCGCCCACAGUCGUGCCUAGGUCCGCCCGUUCUUGCCAAAUUCUCCCUCAGUCAUGCUGUUGGUCGCCUUCCUGCUCCCCACGCCAACGUCCUGUGCAUCGCCGCCGGAGUUCGACUUGCUGCUUGUGCGAGCUGUAUCGAGCUCGUCCGACCAUGGCGCUCACUCCCCAGCCGUUCUCUUGCUCCUCGCACCGUGAUUGCCAUGUUCACUAGCAACCGCAGUUUCGUCGUGUCGCAAACCGUGAGCUGGGACUCCACCGUCUUCGGCCGUCGACUAGCUCGCCAAGGCGUUUUUCACAUUGAAGCAUAGUUGUCGUGCCCUGCGUCCUCGCCGUGUCCGUAAAGCCGUUGUGGAGUUGUUGUCGUUCGCCUCCACGCCAUGUGAGGCAGCGUCGUUGAUCUCUUCAUGGUGCUCGUCGUCGUCUCCUCAUCGCCAUGCCGAACGUCUCAGACCCCGCCAACCUGUCGCCGGAGAAGCACAGUGCAGUACGAUGCCCCAUUAGGUGUUCGGUGUUAUGUGUGAACCAGAAGUUAUUGCCAAUAUCGCGGUGUUCAAGUUGAGUUUAUUUU
This 809-nucleotide unclassified non-coding RNA is filed under the name Zea mays. RNAcentral's name for it is "misc RNA Zm00001eb028180". Lineage: Eukaryota; Viridiplantae; Streptophyta; Magnoliopsida; Poales; Poaceae. The record is from RNAcentral.